This 69-nucleotide transfer RNA is filed under the name Ictidomys tridecemlineatus (thirteen-lined ground squirrel). RNAcentral describes it as "Spermophilus tridecemlineatus (thirteen-lined ground squirrel) tRNA". It matches the Rfam family "tRNA". Rfam says of the family: Transfer RNA (tRNA) molecules are approximately 80 nucleotides in length. Their secondary structure includes four short double-helical elements and three loops (D, anti-codon, and T loops). The record is from Rfam by way of RNAcentral. Lineage: Eukaryota; Metazoa; Chordata; Mammalia; Rodentia; Sciuridae.
GGGGUUGUGGCUCAGUGGGAGAGCACUCACCUUGAGUGUGUGGGGCCCUGGGUUCAAUCCUCAGCACCA